Camellia sinensis is the source of this 796-nucleotide non-coding RNA. Lineage: Eukaryota; Viridiplantae; Streptophyta; Magnoliopsida; Ericales; Theaceae. The record is from RefSeq and is a predicted model, not a curated record.
GAGGUAUGAUUCUUUGAUAUCCAUCGAUUUCCAUCGAUUUUUGAUGAUUUUGAUCUGGAAAAUCUUGUUCUCCCUCUUGACUUGAGCAUAUAUCUUCGAGAUUGUUCGAAUCCCUCUGAUCUAAAUCGAUCUAGGGCUCAAGUCCAUGCAAUGGGAUACAUGCAAAGCUCUUGUCAUUCAUGGCGAUAUACUUUGUCUGGGGUUUCGAGUGCGGUGUCAGUGUCUCCGGACAAGCAACGGCUAAUAUAAUCGAGAUGGGUCAUAAGUAGAAGUUAAAGAUCUAGAGACCUAGAUCUUAUCCUCAAAUCUGCUAUCUCUCCGAUCAGAACUGCAAAUAUCAGAUAGAUUCUGUGGACCUUCACAUACUAAAUCCAAAGUACCACUGGCCAUUUGAGUAUCUUUUGUUCUAGGAUAUUUUGAAGUGAGAAAGCAGCUGCAUCUGGAGUAUAAGGUUGAUUAACCUGGCUACCUUACUGAUGUGGAUCGUCACUGCAGUAUUUUCGAACUCCUAGUGAUAUGUGAAAUACCUUAUAGCAUAUUGUUGUUGGAAUUGAGUAAAUUGAAUCAUAUUACAAAGAUGAUAGACAAGAUGAACAUUGACAAACUCUCUGUACGUAAAGAUUUUGACCCAAUUAUUGCUGAAAAUCUUAUAAUUACUUGUACCCUUGUGUAUGCUAUGAAGCUGCUUUAUUCCUAUUCUUUUCUCCAUAAUCCCCACCUUAUAGUGUCUCUCGCCUUUCAAUCUGUGGAGGAUUUUCGCAAUGCAGCAAUCAGCUGAAUGCAAGCUGACAUGACA